Molecule: ribosomal RNA, 1120 nt
Filed under: Staphylococcus warneri
Lineage: Bacteria; Bacillati; Bacillota; Bacilli; Caryophanales; Staphylococcaceae
Description: bacterial SSU rRNA
Rfam family: Bacterial small subunit ribosomal RNA
Source: RNAcentral
GAAGUCGAGCGAACAGAUAAGGAGCUUGCUCCUUUGACGUUAGCGGCGGACGGGUGAGUAACACGUGGAUAACCUACCUAUAAGACUGGGAUAACUUCGGGAAACCGGAGCUAAUACCGGAUAACAUAUUGAACCGCAUGGUUCAAUAGUGAAAGGCGGCUUUGCUGUCACUUAUAGAUGGAUCCGCGCCGUAUUAGCUAGUUGGUAAGGUAACGGCUUACCAAGGCAACGAUACGUAGCCGACCUGAGAGGGUGAUCGGCCACACUGGAACUGAGACACGGUCCAGACUCCUACGGGAGGCAGCAGUAGGGAAUCUUCCGCAAUGGGCGAAAGCCUGACGGAGCAACGCCGCGUGAGUGAUGAAGGUCUUCGGAUCGUAAAACUCUGUUAUCAGGGAAGAACAAAUGUGUAAGUAACUGUGCACAUCUUGACGGUACCUGAUCAGAAAGCCACGGCUAACUACGUGCCAGCAGCCGCGGUAAUACGUAGGUGGCAAGCGUUAUCCGGAAUUAUUGGGCGUAAAGCGCGCGUAGGCGGUUUUUUAAGUCUGAUGUGAAAGCCCACGGCUCAACCGUGGAGGGUCAUUGGAAACUGGAAAACUUGAGUGCAGAAGAGGAAAGUGGAAUUCCAUGUGUAGCGGUGAAAUGCGCAGAGAUAUGGAGGAACACCAGUGGCGAAGGCGACUUUCUGGUCUGUAACUGACGCUGAUGUGCGAAAGCGUGGGGAUCAAACAGGAUUAGAUACCCUGGUAGUCCACGCCGUAAACGAUGAGUGCUAAGUGUUAGGGGGUUUCCGCCCCUUAGUGCUGCAGCUAACGCAUUAAGCACUCCGCCUGGGGAGUACGACCGCAAGGUUGAAACUCAAAGGAAUUGACGGGGACCCGCACAAGCGGUGGAGCAUGUGGUUUAAUUCGAAGCAACGCGAAGAACCUUACCAAAUCUUGACAUCCUUUGACCGCUCUAGAGAUAGAGUUUUCCCCUUCGGGGGACAAAGUGACAGGUGGUGCAUGGUUGUCGUCAGCUCGUGUCGUGAGAUGUUGGGUUAAGUCCCGCAACGAGCGCAACCCUUAAGCUUAGUUGCCAUCAUUAAGUUGGGCACUCUAAGUUGACUGCCGGUGAC